RNAcentral lists this transfer RNA (83 nucleotides) under Xanthobacter flavus. RNAcentral's name for it is "tRNA-OTHER". Lineage: Bacteria; Pseudomonadati; Pseudomonadota; Alphaproteobacteria; Hyphomicrobiales; Xanthobacteraceae. The record is from RNAcentral.
AGGAACGCGGUUAUUUCAAUUCAACGGCUUGCGCCAAAUUCCCAAGCUGUAUGUCGUGGGUUCGAUUCCCAUCGCCCGCUCCA